CCUUAGUGAUUUGUGUUCUUUCUCUCUUUCAUUCAUUUAAUGAAUUUUGACAUUGUAUCCCUUUGGGGAGUUUUGCUACAUAUACACAUGAUCAUAAUUGUUUGUAGACUCUAUACUCACAUGAGAUGUUCUUAUCAGUUAAAUCUUCUAUAUAUGUACCCAAUCAUUCUUACUUGAAUAAUGUUACUGUCCCUAGUUAUUUGUCAACAUUCCUUUCUUGUUUUUAGCAAAGCUUUCUUAUUGAGCAGUAUCUUAAACCAGCAUUCCAGUUUAUCUUUCUUUUGAUUGAUGACUUGUUGUUUAGACUUUUUGUGUUUGCAUCUUAUUCUACUUUUAAAGCUAACCUAUAAACUACUAUUUGUGAUCUAGACUAGAAAUUGUUUUCAUGAACUAUUGUGAAAAUUAAUGCUAUUCAGUAAGCAACAGGUUGGCAGGUUUGACUAUUGCUCAUGCAAAGGGUGAUUCAUGAUUCCUAGGUUUCAACAUUGUGGUAAUCCUAUGGUCUUAAAAUUUAAAUCUCUGUACAGAGUGGGUAAUUAUAAUAAAGCAUCAUAGGUGUCUCAGCCAAUUGAAGUGAGUUUAGGAUUAUGAGACCACUGGUUGGUGGAGAUAACAAAGAACUUUUUAAGGUGUUAGUUAAGCUACAAGUUUAAUCUUGCUCCCUCUCCUUACUUGUGAUCAAAUUGAAUUUUAGUGCAUCUCAUAAUAUUGAUCUCAAUCAUUGUUUCCUUCCCCUCCUCAGCCCUGGUGGAUGUGUCCUACAUUGCAUUUUUCACCUGCAGGAAGGACUGCAAAUAACGUAAACCAAACUUAGCUCCAGAGACGCUAAGACCUGAACAUUACUCUUCUUCUGCAGCUUUUCAUUGCUUUGUCUAUUGUUCAUUUCCUUUGACAUUUAUGACUCCUCUCUUAUGCACCAAUCGGUUCAGCAGCAUCAUUACACCAGGCUUUAAUUUAUUGACCCACUGCCGAUGGAAUGCACUAUCCUUAAAUGCUGAAACACAUCGCUUUUUCCAUCAUUUGCCCUUCGUUGCAGCACUUUAUUUAGUGCCAUUGGCUAUUCCCACUGUCCAUGGCUGAAAUCCUUCUUCUUUCCCCCCACUGCACCCUCGAAUCUUCUUGUGGAGACCAUAAAAUAGCAAAUACUAAAUCUUAAAUUGAACUGCAUUACAGUAAAAUCUGGACUUAAACCUUUUGGGGACAUGCAGGUUCUUUCUUCAAGCCACGAUUUUGAUAAAGUUUUGAUCCAGAGAUUGCGUGAUACUAGUGAUGAGGUUACUGUUAUAGAAAGAAGAGCCAAGUAUUUUAAGGAGAUGAAAAGGGUGUGAAGCUGCUGUUCCCUAAUGAGACUAAACUUCUUUAAGCAAGUGGCAAAGAAAUAAGAAAUGGAAGUACAUAAAUUAUAGAUGUAGCUGGAACUUGGAAACGUAUUCUCUCUUGCUAGCCUUUAUUUAUUUAUUUUUUUAUUGGUUCGGCCAAGAGAUAAAACUAGGAAGAACCCAAAAACCACAACCUAAGAAGGGACUAAACAACAGCAGAAAACAAACAAGUUGAGAAAUCAAUACCAGAGAGGAGCAAGACGUAGAACAAAAGUUAAAAGAGAGGAAGACAUCAACUCCUAGAAAGCGGGUAGGGGGCCUCAUGUCAGCAUUAAAGGUAAGGAGUGUUGAGACAUAGUACGGCAGGCGAGGUGGGACAAGAGCCCAUUUAAUUGGAGAAGCCCCUUUCAACUACCGUCACUGCUGUCCUCCCUUGCUCUGCAUUUUUUUACUUUUCUGCUGCUUGCAAUGUGCAAAAAGUAAUCUUGAUUAUUCUUUUUUUUUUCUUUCGUUCUUCGAAGAACUGUCAUAUUAAAAUAUAUGAUUGAUGGUAUUAAAGCUAACACAAAAUGUAUUAAAUUACUCUGAAAUUUUAGUCUUA
Molecule: small RNA, 1920 nt
Filed under: Theobroma cacao (cacao)
Lineage: Eukaryota; Viridiplantae; Streptophyta; Magnoliopsida; Malvales; Malvaceae
Description: sRNA Tc04v2_g015820
Source: RNAcentral